This 490-nucleotide ribosomal RNA is filed under the name uncultured bacterium. RNAcentral describes it as "partial 16S ribosomal RNA". It matches the Rfam family "Bacterial small subunit ribosomal RNA", at positions 30 to 507 of the family's 1533-position model. The record is from RNAcentral.
AUUGAACGCUGGCGGCAGGCCUAACACAUGCAAGUCGAACGGUAACAGGAAGAAGCCUGCUUCUUUCCUGAGGCGUGGCGGAAGGGUGAGUUAUGUCUGUGAAACUGCCUGAUGGAGGGGGAUAACUACUGGAAACGGUUGCUACAACCGCACAACGUCGCAAGACGAAAGAGCGGGGGAUCUGGGGCUCUUGCCUUCGGCUGUGCCCAGAUGGGAUUAGCUAGUAGGUGGGGUAACGGCUCACCUAGGCGACGAUCCGUAGCUGGUCUGAGAGGAUGACCAGCCACACUGGAACUGAGACACGGUCCAGACUCCUACGGGAGGCAGCAGUGGGGAAUAUUGGACAAUGGGCGCAAGCCUGAUGCAGCCAUGCCGCGUGUAUGAAGAAGGCCUUCGGGUUGUAAAGUACUUUCAGCGGGGAGGAAGGGAAGAAAGUUAAUACCUUGGCUCAUUGACGUUACCCGCAGAAUAAGCACCGGCUAACUCCGUG